AUACGGAGGACGCGAGCGUUAUCCGGAUUCAUUGGGUUUAAAGGGUGCGCAGGCGGCCGUGCAAGUCAGCGGUGAAAGCCCGGGGCCCAACCCCGGAAGUGCCGUUGAUACUGCAUGGCUUGAAUGCGGUCGAGGCGGGCGGAACGUGGCGUGUAGCGGUGAAAUGCGUAGAUAUGCCACAGAACGCCGAUAGCGGAGGCAGCUCGCCAGGCCUGCAUUGACGCUCGGGCACGAAAGCGUGGGGAACGAACAGGAUUAGAUACCCUGGUAGUCCACGCCGUAAACGAUGGGCGCUCGUCGUCGGCGGCAGACAGUCGGCGGCCAAGCGAAAGCGAUAAGCGCCCCACCUGGGGAGUACGGUCGCAAGGCUGAAACUCAAAUGAAUUGACGGGG
RNAcentral lists this ribosomal RNA (393 nucleotides) under uncultured bacterium. Its description in RNAcentral is "partial 16S ribosomal RNA". It matches the Rfam family "Bacterial small subunit ribosomal RNA", at positions 523 to 918 of the family's 1533-position model. The record is from RNAcentral.